This 486-nucleotide ribosomal RNA is filed under the name uncultured bacterium. Its description in RNAcentral is "partial 16S ribosomal RNA". It matches the Rfam family "Bacterial small subunit ribosomal RNA", at positions 30 to 507 of the family's 1533-position model. The record is from RNAcentral.
AUUGAACGCUGGCGGCAUGCCUUACACAUGCAAGUCGAACGGCAGCACGGGUGCUUGCACCUGGUGGCGAGUGGCGAACGGGUGAGUAAUACAUCGGAACAUGCCCUGUAGUGGGGGAUAGCCCGGCGAAAGCCGGAUUAAUACCGCAUACGAUCUACGGAUGAAAGCGGGGGACCUUCGGGCCUCGCGCUAUAGGGUUGGCCGAUGGCUGAUUAGCUAGUUGGUGGGGUAAAGGCCUACCAAGGCGACGAUCAGUAGCUGGUCUGAGAGGACGACCAGCCACACUGGGACUGAGACACGGCCCAGACUCCUACGGGAGGCAGCAGUGGGGAAUUUUGGACAAUGGGCGAAAGCCUGAUCCAGCAAUGCCGCGUGUGUGAAGAAGGCCUUCGGGUUGUAAAGCACUUUUGUCCGGAAAGAAAUCCUUGGCCCUAAUACGGUCGGGGGAUGACGGUACCGGAAGAAUAAGCACCGGCUAACUACGUG